Molecule: ribosomal RNA, 380 nt
Filed under: uncultured eukaryote
Lineage: Eukaryota
Description: partial 18S ribosomal RNA
Rfam family: Eukaryotic small subunit ribosomal RNA
Source: RNAcentral
CAAUAGCGUAUAUUAAAGUUGUUGCAGUUAAAAAGCUCGUAGUUGGAUUUGUGGUUUGUCCCGCCUGCUGGACCUUUUGGGUCUUUGCGGUGCGGGUCAUCCAUCCUUGGGUGGAAUCCCGGUGGCAUUAGGUUGUCGCCGGGGGGAUGCCCAUCUUUUACUGUGAAAAAAUUAGAGUGUUCAAAGCAGUCUUACGACGUUGAAUAUAUUAGCAUGGAAUAAUGAUAUAGGACUUUCGUACUAUUUUGUUGGUUUGCGCACGGAAGUAAUGAUUAACAGGGACAGUUGGGGGUAUUCGUAUUCCAUUGUAAGAGGUGAAAUUCUUGGAUUUUUGGAAGACGAACUACUGCGAAAGCAUUUACCAAGGAUGUUUUCAUUAA